Molecule: ribosomal RNA, 476 nt
Filed under: uncultured bacterium
Lineage: Bacteria
Description: bacterial SSU rRNA
Rfam family: Bacterial small subunit ribosomal RNA
Source: RNAcentral
GAUUAACGCUAGCGGCAGGCAUAAUACAUGCAAGUUGAACGAGAUUAGUUUUAGCAAUAGAACUAGUUUAGUGGCGCACGGGUGCGUAACGCGUAUGCAACCUACCUUAAACAGGGGAAUAGCCUCUCGAAAGAGAGAUUAAUACCGCAUAACAUAUAUUUAGAGCAUUCUAGAUAUAUCGAAAACCUACGGGGGUUUAAGAUGGGCAUGCGUGACAUUAGCUAGUUGGUGAGGUAACGGCUCACCAAGGCAACGAUGUCUAGGGGGUCUGAGAGGAUGUCCCCCCANACUGGUACUGAGACACGGACCAGACUCCUACGGGAGCAGCAGUAGGGAAUAUUGGGUCAAUGGAGGCAACUCUGAACCAGCCAUGCCGCGUGCAGGACUAAGGCCCUAUGGGUCGUAAAACUGCUUUUGAAUGGAAGAAAUGUAUCUAACGUGUAGAUAUUUGACGGUACCAUUAGAAUAAGGAUCGG